UAGAGUUUGAUGCCUGGCUCAGAACGUACGCUGGCGGCACGCCUAACACAUGCAAGUCGAACGAAGUAGCAAUACUUAGUGGCAGACGGGUGAGUAACAUGUAGGUAUCUGCCCUUUGGCCUGGAAUAACACGAGGAAACUUGUGCUAAUACCGGAUAAGUCUUUACGGAGAAAGCUUUAUGCACCAUUGGAUGAGCCUGCACUUGAUUAGUUUGUUGGUGGGGUAAUGGCCUACCAAGACUGUGAUCAAUAGCUGAUUUGAGAGGAUGAUCAGCCACAUUGGGACUGAGACACGGCCCAAACUCCUACGGGAGGCAGCAGUGGGGAAUCUUGCACAAUGGAGGAAACUCUGAUGCAGCGAUGCCGCGUGAGUGAAGAAGGCCCUUGGGUUGUAAAGCUCUUUCGUCGGGGAAGAAAAUGACUGUACCCGAAUAAGAAGGUCCGGCUAACUUCGUGCCAGCAGCCGCGGUAAUACGAAGGGACCUAGCGUAGUUCGGAAUUACUGGGCUUAAAGAGUUCGUAGGUGGUUGAAAAAGUUGGUGGUGAAAUCCCAGAGCUUAACUCUGGAACUGCCAUCAAAACUUUUCAGCUAGAGUAUGAUAGAGGAAAGCAGAAUUUCUAGUGUAGAGGUGAAAUUCGUAGAUAUUAGAAAGAAUACCAAUUGCGAAGGCAGCUUUCUGGAUCAUUACUGACACUGAGGAACGAAAGCAUGGGUAGCGAAGAGGAUUAGAUACCCUCGUAGUCCAUGCCGUAAACGAUGUGUGUUAGACGUUGGAAAUUUAUUUUCAGUGUCGCAGCGAAAGCGAUAAACACACCGCCUGGGGAGUACGACCGCAAGGUUAAAACUCAAAUGAAUUGACGGGGACCCGCACAAGUAGUGGAGCAUGUGGUUUAAUUCGAAGAUACGCGCAGAACCUUACCAACACUUGACAUGUUCGUCGCGACUCUAAGAGAUUAGAGUUUUCGGUUCGGCCGGACGAAACACAGGUGCUGCAUGGCUGUCGUCAGCUCGUGUCGUGAGAUGUUGGGUUAAGUCCCGCAACGAGCGCAACCCUCACUUUUAGUUGCCAUCAUUAAGUUGGGCACUCUGAAAGAACUGCCAGUGAUAAGCUGGAGGAAGGUGGGGAUGACGUCAAGUCCUCAUGGCCCUUACGUGUUGGGCUACACACGUGCUACAAUGGUAUCUACAACAGGAAGCAAGACUGCGAAGUUAAGCAAAUCCCUAAAAGAUACCUCAGUUCGGAUUGCACUCUGCAACUCGAGUGCAUGAAGCUGGAAUUACUAGUAAUCGUGGAUCAGCGUGCCACGGUGAAUGCGUUCCCGGGUCUUGUACACACCGCCCGUCA
RNAcentral lists this ribosomal RNA (1346 nucleotides) under uncultured Alphaproteobacteria bacterium. RNAcentral describes it as "bacterial SSU rRNA". It matches the Rfam family "Bacterial small subunit ribosomal RNA". The record is from RNAcentral. Lineage: Bacteria; Pseudomonadati; Pseudomonadota; Alphaproteobacteria.